UACGUAGGGUGCGAGCGUUGUCCGGAUUUAUUGGGCGUAAAGAGCUCGUAGGCGGUUUGUCGCGUCGGCCGUGAAAUCUCCACGCUUAACGUGGAGCGUGCGGUCGAUACGGGCAGACUUGAGUUCGGUAGGGGAGACUGGAAUUCCUGGUGUAGCGGUGAAAUGCGCAGAUAUCAGGAGGAACACCGGUGGCGAAGGCGGUUCUCUGGGCAUUACCUGACGCUGAGGAGCGAAAGUGUGGGGAGCGAACAGG
RNAcentral lists this ribosomal RNA (253 nucleotides) under uncultured bacterium. Its description in RNAcentral is "partial 16S ribosomal RNA". It matches the Rfam family "Bacterial small subunit ribosomal RNA", at positions 524 to 776 of the family's 1533-position model. The record is from RNAcentral.